GAGGAAUAUUGGGCAAUGGGCGCAAGCCUGACCCAGCCAUGCCGCGUGAAGGAUGAAGGCCCUAUGGGUUGUAAACUUCUUUUUUACGGGACAAAACUCUCGGACGUGUCCGGGAUUGAUGGUACUGUAUGAAUAAGCAUCGGCUAACUCCGUGCCAGCAGCCGCGGUAAUACGGAGGAUGCAAGCGUUAUCCGGAUUCAUUGGGUUUAAAGGGUGCGUAGGCGGAAUAAUAAGUCAGUGGUGAAAGCCUGCGGCUUAACCGUAGAAUUGCCGUUGAUACUGUUAUUCUUGAGUAUAGUUGAAGUGGGCGGAAUGUGUAAUGUAGCGGUGAAAUGCUUAGAUAUUACACAGAACACCAAUUGCGAAGGCAGCUCGCUAAACUGUUACUGACGCUGAGGCACGAAAGCGUGGGGAGCAAAC
This 420-nucleotide ribosomal RNA is filed under the name uncultured bacterium. Its description in RNAcentral is "bacterial SSU rRNA". It matches the Rfam family "Bacterial small subunit ribosomal RNA", at positions 356 to 773 of the family's 1533-position model. The record is from RNAcentral.